Molecule: long non-coding RNA, 1220 nt
Filed under: Homo sapiens (human)
Lineage: Eukaryota; Metazoa; Chordata; Mammalia; Primates; Hominidae
Description: long intergenic non-protein coding RNA 1089
Source: RNAcentral
GCCAUUUUUCUGCAAUGGAAUUAAAUGGCCAAAGCAGUAAACAGUCCUCAGCGAAGCCGCCUUUUUGCCUACCCAACCCUGGAAAGUUUGCAGAAGUGGAAGGAGCAGAACGUGAGGGUGUAACUUACAAAAAGGUUCUGGGCCGGAGAAGGGGCGACGUUCGGGCACCCCCCGAAUGGACAAUCUUUCCUUCUGUCAACGGCAGGGGCAGGCCUAGUUUGACUCUGACAGUCCUCCCACUAAGGAAUUCCUGGUGACUGGAAGGGGGAGUGACUCAGGCCCUCAACCUCUAGCAGGUAAGGGAGCUACCUCCUGGGUGGGCAUGCCCAGUUCCUCAGUGGGCCCAGCGCGGCCCAGCCUCCGAGGAAGCUCUGAGCAGCUGGCUUGGCUCCGAGGUAUUUUUAGCUACAGAUCCAGCCCCCCUCCAUCACCACAACAGUCGAGUCCAAAUCAAACGCGCUCCAGGCAGGUGGGGCUGGGGUUCUGCCAGCCUCCUGGCCAGCAGGGGUGGGUGGGCAGACUGGGGCCAGUAUCAGCUGUUCUGCCUGGACCCAGGCCGGGCUGGGAAGGCACACUUGUGCUUAUUUCCCGCCUCCACUUCUGUGCAAGCUUGUGCUGUCAUAAGCAGAGAUCACAGCCCCAUUUCUUGGAUGGAGAAAGUGGACACUGAGGUCUGAGGCUUUUGAGGACAGUCAGGAGCCCUCCUAUGGGCUCCAGUGAUGCACUCACCAGCUUCUGGUCCUCUUCUUCCACCUCUUAGAGUGCCUUGGCUCCCUCCUGUCGUCCUGGGGAACCUCGGCCCCAGCCCUGCCUCCCCAGCCAGUCACAGCUCCUCCCUGGUCACCCUGAGGGAGCUCAGGGCCCGGCUGGUAGCUGGGUUGCUCUGCUUCUGUCCCCCACUCCUGUGGAGCCUGGCAGGCAACUCCAUGAUCUGACCCCGGUUACCUUGACAGCCCUGCCUGGCCUCCCCUCUCAUGGCCCAGCCACCCCAGAACCUGAAGAGGUUUUCUAGCUGCCGUGCAUUUGCCAGGCUGGGUUACCCACCCUACUUUCCCUGCCUGCCCUCCAGUGCUGCCAGGCCUAGUGUGCCAGCCAGCGCUCAGCCUUCAGUAAAGGGUUCCCCUGCUUCCAACCUCCAUUGCACUGCUUCCCCUAAGACUGUGACCUCCUGGAAGGCUGGAGCACAACUGCCUCUCAAUAAACGUGUUGCAAAAAAGGAA